RNAcentral lists this long non-coding RNA (717 nucleotides) under Equus caballus (horse). RNAcentral describes it as "lncRNA (ENSECAG00000045318.1)". The record is from RNAcentral. Lineage: Eukaryota; Metazoa; Chordata; Mammalia; Perissodactyla; Equidae.
CAGAUUGGCUUUAUCUGAAUGGAAGUAAAACUUUACUAUGUGAUUUUUAAUUAUAAUGAUAUGCUAACACAACUGAUAUUUAUUUAUAAUUUUAUAGUUUACACAGCUGUUUCAAAUGUAUGCUAUAUCAAACAAGGAAUCAAAAGUUCAGAGAGUCAAGAUAACUACAUGGCCACAUCUCACUCAUUUCUCUGAUGUCUUUUACCAACGUGACUGGGCUGAUUUCCAUCUCUUUACACUUGUCCUAAAUUUCUUCUCCCUUCAAGAUUCUGUAAAAGGCACCAGGCUCAUUUUCUGCUAUCUGUAAUUCGAAUGUGCUUUCCUUGAUUCAAGAUCCAUUGCUGGAGGAAUAACAUUUUCAUUAGGAAAUACAAUAUGAUUUCCGCUGAACAAAGUCUUUGACCACCACCUGGUCACACUGGAAUCUCCAUGCUGAUUGACUAGAAACCAAAAAAAAGAGUCACUUUAUUGGCAAGACUGAAGACAUGAUUAAUAUGAACAGCUAAAGUUGAUGCUAUAUAACACAGUCUGCAAAGAAUAUAACCAAAAUUUAAGGAUUCACUGGGGUGUCUCUUGGUGCUUCUCUGUCCAGUGAAACAGUAAACAAUCAGUUUCAAGAAGCUUACUGACCGUGCCUCAAUGACAAAGAUUUAAAUCAUCCGAUCAGGCAUUUAACCAGGACCAGCUGAAGUAACGAUCAAGGGUGAAAGUAAUCUA